AGUGGCGGACGGGUGAGUAACGCGUGAGAAUCUGCCUGGGGGUCGGGGACAACCACUGGAAACGGUGGCUAAUACCGGAUAAGCCGAUUGGUGAAAGAUUUAUUGCCCGAAGAGGAGCUCGCGUCUGAUUAGCUAGUUGGUGAGGUAAGAGCUCACCAAGGCAGCGAUCAGUAGCUGGUCUGAGAGGACGAUCAGCCACACUGGGACUGAGACACGGCCCAGACUCCUACGGGAGGCAGCAGUGGGGAAUUUUCCGCAAUGGGCGAAAGCCUGACGGAGCAAGACCGCGUGAGGGAGGAAGGCUCUUGGGUUGUAAACCUCUUUUCUCAGGGAAGAAGCUCUGACGGUACCUGAGGAAUCAGCCUCGGCUAACUCCGUGCCAGCAGCCGCGGUAAUACGGAGGAGGCAAGCGUUAUCCGGAAUUAUUGGGCGUAAAGCGUCCGCAGGUGGCGAUUCAAGUCUGCUGUCAAAGCACGGGGCUUAACUCCGUAAAGGCAGUGGAAACUGAAUAGCUAGAGUGCCGUAGGGGUAGAGGGAAUUCCCGGUGUAGCGGUGAAAUGCGUAGAGAUCGGGAAGAACAUCGGUGGCGAAAGCGCUCUACUGGACGGCAACUGACACUCAGGGACGAAAGCUAGGGGAGCGAAUGGGAUUAGAUACCCC
Molecule: ribosomal RNA, 660 nt
Filed under: uncultured bacterium
Lineage: Bacteria
Description: bacterial SSU rRNA
Rfam family: Bacterial small subunit ribosomal RNA
Source: RNAcentral